Molecule: long non-coding RNA, 1070 nt
Organism: Ctenopharyngodon idella (grass carp)
Lineage: Eukaryota; Metazoa; Chordata; Actinopteri; Cypriniformes; Xenocyprididae
Exons: 2
Source: RefSeq, a predicted model, not a curated record
UUGUCCUGUGGCUCCCUCUGUCCUUCAUCAUAAGCUGGGACGCCACUCUCUCGUGAACGUGCGUAUGACAGCUAGCGGAAGCUAGAGAUUACAGUUUAUAAAGUUUUAAAUAUGGAUAUUUUUCUUACACAAACGCAUCGCUUCGCUUCAGAAGGCCUUUAUUAACCCCCCGGAGUCGUGUGGACUUCUUUUAUAACGGAUGGGUGCAUUUUUUCUGUCUUUAGAAUUUGACCCACCAUCUACUCCCAUUAUAAAGCAUGGAUUAGCCUGGACAUUUUUUUAUAUAACUCCGACUGUAUUCAUCUGAAAGAAGAAUCUCAUAUACACCUAGGAUGGCUUGAGGGUGAGUAAAUCAUGGGGUAAUUUUCAUUUUUGGGUGAACUAUCCCUUUAAAACAGCAGCUAAUAUAAAACUCUUACUGUCUGCAGUAUAUAGUAUGAAUACAGUGUAUAGUGUACAAAUGACAUGUUAGGAUGGGAUACUCAAAUCAAAUAACCAUUAUUAUUAAAAUUAACAUCUAUUAUUUAUAAAAGGCGGCAACUGAAAACACUCAGAUCUCAAAUGUGUGACUGAUCUAUAAGAGCACAAAAUCUCUUUCUGACCUCUAUAAUUAUUAAGAGUGGCAGAUUAAUUUAUAUGAUUUUAUUUCAGAUGUUUGUGUGACGAUGUUGUUUCAGAUCCUCCUUUGAGCAGCUGCAGUAUCAGUUCAGUCACUGUGACUCUGACUGACGGAGGUUUUUGUACGACUCUUUAUCACUGUGUGAACACAUAUUUACUGUGGUAACUCUGACAGUAAUAAUGUCCAGCAUCUUCAGUCUGGACUCCACUGAUGGUCAGAGUGAAAUCUGUCCCACCUUCUGCUCCAUUCCCACUGAAUCGACUUAAACUGCUAUCAUAAAGCACAUCUACAGAACGAAUGAUGAGUUUAGGAGCUUCUCCAUGUUUCUGCUGAUACCAAGCUAAACCCCAGCUAGCUAUCCCAGUAUCAGUUUUACACUCUAUAUUGGCGUUUUGUCCUUCAGAAACAGUCACAACUUCAGGCUGAGUCACAGUGAUUCCUCUGGAUGCUG